AUACUUACCUGGCACAGGAGACACCGUGAUCACGAGGACGGUUCUCCCAGGGCGAGGCUUGCCAUUGCACUCCGGCAGUGCUGACCCCUGCGAUUAACCCAAAUGUGGUUAACUCGAGUGCGAAAUUUCUUAUUUGUGAGGGAUUGCGUUCGCGCAUCCCCUGU
Small nuclear RNA from Scylla paramamosain (green mud crab), 164 nucleotides. RefSeq annotates it as U1 spliceosomal RNA. The record is from RefSeq and is a predicted model, not a curated record. NCBI's taxonomy places the organism in Eukaryota, Metazoa, Arthropoda, Malacostraca, Decapoda, Portunidae. The transcript has a single exon.